AGCGAACGCUGGCGGCAUGCCUAACACAUGCAAGUCGCACGGGGGGGCUUCGGCCUCCCAGUGGCGGACGGGUGAGGAACGCGUAGGGACCUGUCGAGGGGUGGGGGAUAACCGCGGGAAACUGCGGCUAAUACCGCAUGACGCCGCGGCGUGACAGCCGGGGCCAAAGGCGAAAGCCGCCCGCCGAGGGGCCUGCGUCCGAUUAGCCGGUUAGCGGGGUAGCGGCCCACCAAGGCGUCGAUCGGUAGCUGGUCUGAGAGGGUGAUCAGCCACACCGGGACUGAGACACGGCCCGGACUCCUACGGGAGGCAGCAGUGGGGAAUAUUGGACAAUGGGCGCAAGCCUGAUCCAGCAAUGCCGCGUGGGUGAAGAAGGUCUUCGGAUUGUAAAGCCCUUUCGGCGGGGACGAUGGUGACGGUACCCGCAGAAGAAGCCCCGGCUAACUUCGUG
RNAcentral lists this ribosomal RNA (451 nucleotides) under uncultured bacterium. RNAcentral's name for it is "partial 16S ribosomal RNA". It matches the Rfam family "Bacterial small subunit ribosomal RNA", at positions 28 to 507 of the family's 1533-position model. The record is from RNAcentral.